RNAcentral lists this ribosomal RNA (492 nucleotides) under uncultured bacterium. Its description in RNAcentral is "partial 16S ribosomal RNA". It matches the Rfam family "Bacterial small subunit ribosomal RNA", at positions 29 to 507 of the family's 1533-position model. The record is from RNAcentral.
AGUGAACGCUGGCGGUGGGCCUAACACAUGCAAGUCGAACGGCAGCACAGUAAGUUCUUUCUCUUACGGGUUGCGAGCGGCGGACGUGUGAGGAAUGCAUCGGAAUCUACUUUUUCGUGGGGGCUUACGUAGGGAAACUUACGCUCAUACCGCAUACGACCUACGGGUUAAAGCAGGGGAGCUUCGGACCUUGCGCGAUUGAUUGCGCCGAUGUCGGAUUAGCUAGUUGGCGGGGUAAAGGCCCACCAAGGCGAGGAGCCGUAGCUGGUCUGAGAGGCUGAUCAGACACGCGAGAACAGAGACACGGUCCAGACUCCGACGGGAGGCAGCAGUGGAGAAUUUUGGACAGUGGGCGCAAGCAUGAUCCAGCCAUACCGCGUGGGUGAAGAAGGCCUUGGGGUGGUAAAGCCCUUUUGUUGGGAAAGAAAAGCACCAGUUUAAUACCCCGCCGUUCUGACGGUACCCAAAGAAGAAGCACCGGCUAACUUCGUG